RNAcentral lists this long non-coding RNA (1620 nucleotides) under Ricinus communis (castor bean). RNAcentral's name for it is "long non-coding RNA (RCOM_LNC003465)". Lineage: Eukaryota; Viridiplantae; Streptophyta; Magnoliopsida; Malpighiales; Euphorbiaceae. The record is from RNAcentral.
UUGCAGUUCCUGAGUCCGUGUAAUCCAUUAAGCGUGUGUAAGAAAGGCCUAAUCCUUUUUUUUGCCGAAAGGGUUAGAGGGUUACAGUGCUAAGUGUGAAUCCUAUCUUUACUAUGGGUUAGACCGCACGAGUGAGCAAGCCUCUUCAAGAAAAUUGCUUUCGCAAGCAAGUUCAUUUGAAAGAAGUUAAAUCCUUGAGGUAAGUGCAAACUAGCUAGGAAGUCAUUGAGCAAGAUAUCUAGUUAAAGUCCUAAUUUUUAAUCAUGCAUUUUCUUUUAAGGUCUUACCCUGGAGUUCCAUCGUUAACCCCUUGUUUAGCGCUCGCCAGCCAAUGAGAAAGUUUUCAAGCAGACAAGUGAGUUCCUUUUGAAGAGAAAGGUAGGAGUCAAGCAAUAAAGGCUAGUCUGUCUCUUUUGCUGUCGGUGCAAGCAAGUAAAGUACCAGUCCUAGGUAGACCGCUAAUACAUUUCUUGCUGUCCCUGGGGGGGAAAGGGACAAAGAUAAUGGAUACAUGUAGGGUAAGCUGGUAGGUAGCAUGUCUAGGGGAUGAGCCCGAAUAAGAGAUUGCCCUUUAUCAUUAUCAGUGGGUCAUUUGUCUACUUCACUCUUGCCUUUCCCAAGAGUGUCAUUGUAACAUUUCUUGUGGGAGUGUAGGAUUCCUGUUCUGAGGAGGAUUAGCGUUCUGAGAUUACCUAGUGUUAUUCCCUUCCAUUUAGAUUAGAUAUUUAGAUGUAGUUAAUCCUCUUGUUUCUAUGGUAUGGUGGACUAUCGGGCAUAGUUAGACAUUAAUUAGUAUUAUUUUUGAAUUUAUUUGCCAGUCAGUCCAUUGCUAAUCCCAGGCGAACGAAUAGCUUUCUUUCAUAGGCAGGAAUUGCUGGCCAUUCACCUUCAAUUUCAUUUCUUUUUUGAAGGGAAGGCCUAGCCCCUCUGCCUCGGUCAGAAUCCUAACUUUAAUCUCGCACAAGUCAAGCUCUCACAACAGGGAACAAUUCAUAGAGCUGAUGCUGAUCUGCCUCCUUGAAAGGAAAUCCUCGCACUUCGGGAAGGCUUGGAGGUGUGAAUUCGGUAUGGUCACAUGAUCCAACAUUUUCUCAUUUCGUCUUGAGAAAAAGAAUAUGUAAUGGAAGUCGCUCGCUAGGGCAUUACAGGCUGCCCCUUUCGGUCUGGGUUUUCCACCUUCGUUAGAUUACACGGAUCCAACCGAAAAGAUCUCUCAUUUUGCGCGAGGUUUCGACCUCUAUAGACAAUGAAGUUUAUCUCUUCCUAUACCACAAAUGAGAAAGAGACCUAUUUGACUGCCAUGGAUGCUUGCUGCUCCCAGUACUAGUUCCAUGUCUCAAUCAAGGGAGUAGAAAACUGGGAUUGAAGGAGCCAAGGAAGAGAUCAAGUGUUAGGUGCUUCCACGAGCUGCUUGGUAGAAGCCUUUGUCCGUCAACACAGAAGAGAGGAGUUUGGCUGGGAUGGAUAUGCUCCUCUAUCAGUUCCUAUUCCAGUAUCAACAAAUGAGGCUAACGGUUUGACAGUGACAAGGGGAUGGUCAAGUACGGGUUGUUCCAUCAAAGCUUGUUCGAUUCCUUCUUUCAGUCUCCCACGUACCCUAAAGAAAGAGAUUUGACUCAA